Molecule: unclassified non-coding RNA, 268 nt
Filed under: uncultured Mucorales
Lineage: Eukaryota; Fungi; Mucoromycota; Mucoromycetes; Mucorales
Description: sequence contains 5.8S rRNA gene, ITS2, 28S rRNA gene
Source: RNAcentral
AACGCAUCUUGCACUCAUUGGUAUUCCAAUGAGUACGCCUGUUUCAGUAUCAAAAACAACCCACAUUCAAACUUUUUUGUUAGAAUGGAGCUUGAGAGUAUCUCUCGCAGGACACUCUUAAAAUGGACUAAGGCCUGAAUUUGUUUAAGCCUAAGCCUUUUUUUAAUAUAAAGAAAAGUUUAUGGAUCUAAACUUUGUUUGGGGCCUCCCAAAGAAAACAAUUUUAAAUUCUGAUCUGAAAUUAGGUGGGAAUACCCGCUGAACUUAA